RNAcentral lists this ribosomal RNA (242 nucleotides) under uncultured bacterium. Its description in RNAcentral is "partial 16S ribosomal RNA". It matches the Rfam family "Bacterial small subunit ribosomal RNA", at positions 524 to 768 of the family's 1533-position model. The record is from RNAcentral.
UACGUAGGGUGCGAGCGUUAAUCGGAAUUACUGGGCGUAAAGCGUGCGCAGGCGGAUUGUUAAGCAAGAUGUGAAAUCCCCGGGCUUAACCUGGGAAUGGCAUUUUGAACUGGCAGUCUAGGGUGUGUCAGAGGGGGGUGGAAUUCCACGUGUAGCAGUGAAAUGCGUAGAUAUGUGGAGGAACACCAUGGCGAAGGCAGCCCCUGGGUNAACACUGACGCUCAUGUCGAAACGAACGUCGG